GAUGAACGCUGGCGGCGUGCCUAAUACAUGCAAGUCGAGCGAACAGACGAGGAGCUUGCUCCUCUGACGUUAGCGGCGGACGGGUGAGUAACACGUGGAUAACCUACCUAUAAGACUGGGAUAACUUCGGGAAACCGGAGCUAAUACCGGAUAAUAUAUUGAACCGCAUGGUUCAAUAGUGAAAGACGGUUUUGCUGUCACUUAUAGAUGGAUCCGCGCCGCAUUAGCUAGUUGGUAAGGUAACGGCUUACCAAGGCAACGAUGCGUAGCCGACCUGAGAGGGUGAUCGGCCACACUGAAACUGAGACACGGUCCAGACUCCUACGGGAGGCAGCAGUAGGGAAUCUUCCGCAAUGGGCGAAAGCCUGACGGAGCACCGCCGCGUGAGUGAUGAAGGUCUUCGGAUCGUAAAACUCUGUUAUUAGGGAAGAACAAAUGUGUAAGUAACUAUGCACGUCUUGACGGUACCUAAUCAGAAAGCCACGGCUAACUACGUG
RNAcentral lists this ribosomal RNA (497 nucleotides) under uncultured bacterium. RNAcentral's name for it is "partial 16S ribosomal RNA". It matches the Rfam family "Bacterial small subunit ribosomal RNA", at positions 28 to 507 of the family's 1533-position model. The record is from RNAcentral.